ACAUCUGUUUAAAUGUAGUUUAGUUUUCAAACAAAUGUAGCAUUUUAUUUACUUAACAAAAAAAAAUGAAAAUCCCAUUUCACGAACAGUUUGGAACUUUUUUCCGGACUUACAAUAAAGAUUUAUGCAUGAUUUGUUCUCCUUGCCUAUUUGGAUCAAUGGAAUAUGUGCUUACUUUAAGUAUUAUUGGCACGUUUUUUAAUUACAGCUUACCACACUAUGGGAUUGUGUAUGUUUGACUAAUUGUGGUCAAAUUUAUUCACACUUGAAACCAAUUGAACCUAAUUUCUGUCCAGUUAUAAAAAAAUAUUUUCGAUUUUUAACAUGUGGACUUUACUUGGCGAUAUAUUCAUCGCUCGCGAUUGGAAUAAAAAUUGAACAUCCAGUUCUCCUUUUGCCAUACAUCCUUCUACAAAUGGUGAAUAUAACGCUUUUAAUAUUGGUCGCAUUUUUAUCCAUUCCGAAAUCGACUAAACUUACGAGGAAAACUCUCAUUUAUUGUGGGUUUUCCGCUUUCAAUUUUCUCCAGUGUUUUUGCAGCUUUCGUCACAUGCUUCAGUCAAGGGAUUUUUAAAUACAAACUUGAUUUUCUUUAG
RNAcentral lists this unclassified non-coding RNA (596 nucleotides) under Cimex lectularius (bed bug). RNAcentral's name for it is "uncharacterized LOC106674283, transcript variant X1". The record is from RNAcentral. Lineage: Eukaryota; Metazoa; Arthropoda; Insecta; Hemiptera; Cimicidae.